GUUCUCAUCACACCUUCAUGGGGUGAGGAAAACAACUCUGGCUCGAAGUCACCCCAUCUUUGCAAGAAAUGCUUUUAAACCUACUGGGUGGAUGACUGCUCAAGCCAAGCACGUUACAGAGAGCCUGUAGGGAGCGGAGAGACAGAUUGAUCAGCAAACAAAUCCGAAUCAGGAGUCAGAAAGCUUAUGGAAAAAGGGUGGAAGAAUUGAUUAACAGGAGCUGUGUGUGGUCUAAUGUUUGUCUUCCUGGAAGAUGCUUCA
This is a long non-coding RNA of Chiroxiphia lanceolata (lance-tailed manakin), 261 nucleotides long. RefSeq lists it as uncharacterized. The transcript has 3 exons. The record is from RefSeq and is a predicted model, not a curated record. Lineage: Eukaryota; Metazoa; Chordata; Aves; Passeriformes; Pipridae.